Molecule: non-coding RNA, 101 nt
Organism: Hyaloraphidium curvatum
Lineage: Eukaryota; Fungi; Monoblepharomycota; Hyaloraphidiomycetes; Hyaloraphidiales; Hyaloraphidiaceae
Source: the annotation of a GenBank genome assembly
UCCGUGUUAGUGUAGUGGUUAACAUUUGACGCUUUCAACCCGUGGAUGUCAUUCGCUGAGGAAGAGCCGUCACGACCCGGGUUCGAUCCCCGGACACGGAA